Molecule: ribosomal RNA, 258 nt
Filed under: uncultured bacterium
Lineage: Bacteria
Description: partial 16S ribosomal RNA
Rfam family: Bacterial small subunit ribosomal RNA
Source: RNAcentral
CGGCGGACGGGUGAGUAACACGUGGGUAAUCUGCCUUAUACAGGGGGAUAACAGUUAGAAAUGACUGCUAAUACCGCAUAAGCGCACGGGGACGCAUGUUUCUGUGUGAAAAACUCCGGUAGUAUAAGAUGAGCCCGCGUCUGAUUAGCUGGUUGGUGGGGUAACGGCCUACCAAGGCGACGAUCAGUAGCCGGCCUGAGAGGGUGAACGGCCACAUUGGGACUGAGACACGGCCCAAACUCCUACGGAAGGCAGCAG